GGUGAGUAAUGCCUGGGAAAUUGCCCAGUCGAGGGGGAUAACAGUUGGAAACGACUGCUAAUACCGCAUACGCCCUACGGGGGAAAGCAGGGGACCUUCGGGCCUUGCGCGAUUGGAUAUGCCCAGGUGGGAUUAGCUAGUUGGUGAGGUAAUGGCUCACCAAGGCGACGAUCCCUAGCUGGUCUGAGAGGAUGAUCAGCCACACUGGAACUGAGACACGGUCCAGACUCCUACGGGAGGCAGCAGUGGGGAAUAUUGCACAAUGGGGGAAACCCUGAUGCAGCCAUGCCGCGUGUGUGAAGAAGGCCUUCGGGUUGUAAAGCACUUUCAGCGAGGAGGAAAGGUUGAUGCCUAAUACGUAUCAACUGUGACGUUACUCGCAGAAGAAGCACCGGCUAACUCCGUGCCAGCAGCCGCGGUAAUAC
Molecule: ribosomal RNA, 425 nt
Filed under: Aeromonas hydrophila
Lineage: Bacteria; Pseudomonadati; Pseudomonadota; Gammaproteobacteria; Aeromonadales; Aeromonadaceae
Description: bacterial SSU rRNA
Rfam family: Bacterial small subunit ribosomal RNA
Source: RNAcentral